UUGAACGCUGGCGGCAUGGUUAAAGCAUGCAAGUCGAACGCGAAAGGGAGCAAUCCCAAGUAGAGUGGCGAAAGGGCGAGGAAUACGUUUCUAACGUACCCCGAGGUCGAGGAUAGCUCGGAGAAAUCCGUGGUAAUACUCGAUGAUCCUGGCUGGUCACAUGACCGGCCAGGCAAAGGCUUGCUGCCUUGGGAUCGGGAAACGUCCUAUCAGCUAGUUGGUGUGGUAACGGCGCACCAAGGCUUAGACGGGUAGCGGGUGUGAGAGCAUGGCCCGCCGCAUCGGGACUGAGACACUGCCCGGACUCCUACGGGAGGCUGCAGCGACGAAUCUUCCGCAAUGGGCGCAAGCCUGACGGAGCAAUGCCGCGUGCAGGAUGAAGCCCUUCGGGGUGUAAACUGCUGUCAGGGGCUACCAACACAAUGAGGAUCCCCAAAGGAAGGACCGGCUAACUUCGU
RNAcentral lists this ribosomal RNA (458 nucleotides) under uncultured bacterium. RNAcentral describes it as "bacterial SSU rRNA". It matches the Rfam family "Bacterial small subunit ribosomal RNA", at positions 30 to 506 of the family's 1533-position model. The record is from RNAcentral.